GUUUUCGCAGCCUGACAGAAGGAAAAGGCAAGUGGAAGAAAUGAGAUGUUUAAAAAGUGUAUAAAAUAUCAGCACACUGGAAGAGAAUCGGAUUCUGGGGGCUUGGUGGCCGCUGCAAAAGCAAGCUCGAGCUGCAUUUUAGCACCACCCAACAGGCCAAGUGACCAUCACCAUUAACAACUUCGCCGACUCAUUGGUUUCUUGACCGCCACUACCACCAUAAUCGAAUCCGUAUCCAACAUGGAGCAAUUUCUUUGUGAUCGGUUGCUCGACCUGACGCAACCCAUCUCCGAGCGGUUUAGAGCGCUCUUCUCACUCCGCAACCUCAAAGGCUCCGCUCCCCG
This 344-nucleotide unclassified non-coding RNA is filed under the name Hevea brasiliensis (rubber tree). The record is from RNAcentral. Lineage: Eukaryota; Viridiplantae; Streptophyta; Magnoliopsida; Malpighiales; Euphorbiaceae.